RNAcentral lists this ribosomal RNA (2275 nucleotides) under human metagenome. RNAcentral describes it as "bacterial LSU rRNA". It matches the Rfam family "Bacterial large subunit ribosomal RNA", at positions 523 to 2819 of the family's 2925-position model. The record is from RNAcentral.
ACCCCGAACAGGGGAGUGAAAUAGAACCUGAAACCAUACGCUUACAACCGGUCGGAGCAGCUUCGUGCUGUGACGGCGUGCCUAUUGAAUAAUGAGCCUACGAGUUACUAAUCACUAGCGAGGUUAAGUGCAAGGAUGCACGGAGCCGAAGCGAAAGCGAGUCUGAACAGGGCGUUUAGUUAGUGGUUGUAGACGCGAAACCUUGCGAUCUACCCUUGAGCAGGUUGAAGGUUGGGUAAAACCAACUGGAGGACCGAACGAAUAAGCGUUGAAAAGCUUCUCGAUGACUUGAGGGUAGGGGUGAAAGGCUAAUCAAGCUGGGAAAUAGCUCGUACUCCCCGAAAUGCCUUUUGGGGCAGCGUUGUAAUAAAGAGUCUACUGGAGGUAGAGCUACUGAUUGGAUGCGGGGGCUUCACCGCCUACCAAAUCCUGACAAACUCCGAAUGCCAGUAGUAUGAUUUACAGCAGUGAGUGACUGGGUGCUAAUGUCCAGUCGCAAAAGAGGAACAACUCAGACCAGCAACUAAGGUCCCGAAGAAUAUGCUAAGUUGAUCUAACGAUGUUUUGUUGCAGAGACAGCUAGGAUGUUAGCUUGGAAGCAGCUAUUCAUUCAAAGAGUGCGUAACAGCUCACUAGUCGAGCGACAGAGCGUGGAUAAUAAACGGGCAUCAAGCAUAUCACCGAAGUUCUGGGCGCGAGAGCGCGGUAGGGGAGCAUUCCAUUCAGCGUCGAAGCAGUUUCGUGAGGAAUUGUGGAGCGUAUGGAAAAGCAAAUGUAGGCAUGAGUAACGAUAAUGCGGGAGAGUAACCCGCACACCGCAAGACCAAGGUUUCCUGAUCAACGCUAAUCGGAUCAGGGUUAGUCGGGUCCUAAGGGUAAGCCGAACGGUGAUCUCGAUGGAUAAUCGGUUAAUAUUCCGAUACUGACAUAUACCUCGAUGGAGAGACGAAGGAACGUAAGUGCCGCCGCCUGACGGAAUAGGUGGUUAAAGGGCGUAGGUAUAGGGACAGAUUAAGAGUUAGUCCUUGCUGAACCCCGACAGUACAGAGAGCCUACGGGCAAUUUGAUAGUGCACCCAAGUCGACUUCCGAGAAAAUCUUCUAAGUUAUAGUAUAUGUCACCCGUACCGUAAACCGACACAGGUGGUCGAGGAGAGUAUCCUAAGGUGCUCGAGUGAAUCACGGUUAAGGAACUAGGCAAAUUAACCCCGUAACUUCGGGAAAAGGGGUCCCUAUGAAAGUAGGGCGCAGCGAAGAGGUCCAGGCGACUGUUUAUCAAAAACACAGGGCUCUGCAAAUUCGAAAGAAGACGUAUAGGGCCUGACACCUGCCCGGUGCUGGAAGGUUAAGAGGGGAUGUCAUCGCAAGAGAAGCAUUGAAUCGAAGCCCCAGUAAACGGCGGCCGUAACUAUAACGGUCCUAAGGUAGCGAAAUUCCUUGUCGGGUAAGUUCCGACCUGCACGAAUGGUGUAACGAUCUGGACACUGUCUCAACCGUGAGCUCGGUGAAAUUGUAGUCCCGGUGAUGAUGCCGGGUACCCGCAACGGGACGAAAAGACCCCGUGAACCUUUACUAUAGCUUAACGCUGAAUUUGGGUACACAAUGUGUAGGAUAGGCCGGAGGCUUUGAAGCGGGCACGCCAGUGUUCGUGGAGCCGACGUUGAAAUACGGCCCUUUGUGUAUUUGAGUUCUAACCCUGCGAAGGGGACACCGUUUGGUGGGUAGUUUGACUGGGGUGGUCGCCUCCAAAAGCGUAACGGAGGCUUCCCAAGGUACCCUCAGCACGAAUGGUAACCGUGCGCAGAGUGCAAUAGCAUAAGGGUGCUUGACUGUGAGACCAACAAGUCGAUCAGGUGCGAAAGCAGGGUAUAGUGAUCCGGUGGUUCUGCGUGGACUGGCCAUCGCUCAAAGGAUAAAAGGUACUCCGGGGAUAACAGGCUGAUCGCCGCCAAGAGCUCAUAUCGACGCGGCGGUUUGGCACCUCGAUGUCGGCUCGUCACAUCCUGGGGCUGGAGAAGGUCCCAAGGGUUCGGCUGUUCGCCGAUUAAAGUGGCACGCGAGCUGGGUUCAGAACGUCGUGAGACAGUUCGGUCUCUAUCUGUUGCGGGCGUAGGAAGAUUGAGGGGUCCUGACUUUAGUACGAGAGGACCGAGUUGGACGAACCUCCGGUGUAUCGGUUAUGCUGCCAAGUGUACUGCCGAGUAGCCGCGUUCGGUCUGGAUAAGCGCUGAAAGCAUCUAAGCGCGAAGCCAUCCCCAAGAUAAGUCUUCCCUUGA